ACAAACUUGGUCAUUUAGAGGAAGUAAAAGUCGUAACAAGGUUUCCGUAGGUGAACCUGCGGAAGGAUCAUUACCGAGUGUGACCCUCUAAUAUUAGAGGGUGCCUCCCGUCCUUUGCAGGCCCCCAGGGGCUUUUAACUUUGCUUCGGCGGUACCCCCGCCGGAACAACCCCAACAAAAUCUCGUUUCAAACCGUUCAGUCCGAGGGCUUGUGAAUAAUCAAAACUUUCAACAACGGAUCUCUUGGUUCUGGCAUCGAUGAAGAACGCAGC
RNAcentral lists this unclassified non-coding RNA (272 nucleotides) under uncultured fungus. RNAcentral's name for it is "partial contains small subunit ribosomal RNA, internal transcribed spacer 1, and 5.8S ribosomal RNA". The stretch from base 1 to 73 matches the Rfam family "Eukaryotic small subunit ribosomal RNA", at positions 1759 to 1831 of the family's 1831-position model. Lineage: Eukaryota; Fungi. The record is from RNAcentral.